UACGUAUGUCCCGAGCGUUAUCCGGAUUUAUUGGGCGUAAAGCGAGCGCAGACGGUUGAUUAAGUCUGAUGUGAAAGGCCGGAGCUCAACUCCGGUAUGGCACUGGAAACUGGUUAACUUGAGUGUUGUAGAGGUAAGUGGAACUCCAUGUGUAGCGGUGGAAUGCGUAGACAUAUGGAAGAACACCAGUGGCGAAGGCGGCUUACUGGCCAACAACUGACGUUGAGGCUCGAAAGUGUGGGUAGCAAACAGG
RNAcentral lists this ribosomal RNA (253 nucleotides) under uncultured bacterium. RNAcentral's name for it is "partial 16S ribosomal RNA". It matches the Rfam family "Bacterial small subunit ribosomal RNA", at positions 524 to 776 of the family's 1533-position model. The record is from RNAcentral.